AGGAUGAACGCUAGCGACAGGCUAACACAUGCAAGUCGAGGGGCAGCGAUGGGCGUGGCAACACGCCUGAUGGCGACCGGCGCACUGGUGAGUAACACGUAUGCGACCUGCCUCCUUCAGGGGGAUAACCCAGAGAAAUUUGGCCUAAUACCCCAUAGUCCGCGCGGCUGCAUGGCCGUGCGGGGAAAGCCACGGCGGAAGGAGAUGGGCAUGCGGCGCAUUAGCUGGUUGGCGGGGCAACGGCCCACCAAGGCUACGAUGCGUAGGGGUUCUGAGAGGAAGGUCCCCCACACUGGUACUGAGACACGGACCAGACUCCUACGGGAGGCAGCAGUGAGGAAUAUUGGUCAAUGGGCGGAGGCCUGAACCAGCCAAGGUUCCGCGUGGGGGACGACGGCCCUACGGGUUGUAAACCCCUUUAGCCGGGGAGUAACAAGCGCCACGCGUGGCGCCAUGAGAGUACCCGGAGAAUAAGCAUCGGCUAACUCCGUGCCAGCAGCCGC
RNAcentral lists this ribosomal RNA (503 nucleotides) under uncultured bacterium. Its description in RNAcentral is "bacterial SSU rRNA". It matches the Rfam family "Bacterial small subunit ribosomal RNA", at positions 26 to 518 of the family's 1533-position model. The record is from RNAcentral.